Molecule: long non-coding RNA, 5568 nt
Filed under: Vitis vinifera (wine grape)
Lineage: Eukaryota; Viridiplantae; Streptophyta; Magnoliopsida; Vitales; Vitaceae
Description: long non-coding RNA (VVIN_LNC001290)
Source: RNAcentral
UCAAUAAACAAAAAAUUGUAUUGCAAAGAGGCGCUAAAAUAGCGACCCUCAUAAUUACAGUAUAGAGACACUCGCCCCCUUACAAAAGGGCACAAAACAAGGAAAAAACAAAAAAAAAAACUUCUCCCUCAUCGUGAACCCACCCAAACUACAAAAUCUAUUAAGGUCGAAGGACCAUCUUUUAUCCACAAUUUGGUUUCUGACCAAAGUAAAUACACAAAAGAAGCUUUCAGCCUUUGGAAUAAUUUUCAGGCAAAUAACUAGCAGUCCCAAACUGACAUCUUUCAGUGCAAAGAUUUACCCAUGACAAGCAAGAUCCAUCUAUUUUACAUGGUCAAAGGUGUCAUUAGUUUAUUGUACCAACGCCUAAAAUCUCAAUUUUGAUGGACGUCUGAUUCCCAAAGUGACAAAGCUGAUGACAUUGCACAGUGGGAUUCAUUAUGGAUUCUAAAUAAUUUAGACUUUGAUGUGUCAUUUUCCUGCAUCUCUGUAUUUUCAUUCUCUUACACUCAACCAGCAUUUGUCGCUAACAGAACAGUUCCAUGCAACUAUAAAUGAAAAGAGAGAAAUAAUAAAAUAAAAGAGCAGUGUAUGGCACCUUUUACACUCCCUCAUUCUCCCUGUAAGUUCCUCCAGCUGUUUACUUUGUCUAUUGGGAUCUUUAAUCUUAUCCAGCUUCUGGAAGCCAUUUCUGAACACAGAUAAAAGUCAUCAUAAAUAUAACACAAUAAUCCUUGCAGUAUAUCUGGCUAAUUUGAGAUAAAUAUAUAAAUAUACAUAUAAGGCUAAUUGAAAACACGCAUACACACACACACACUAAUAUUAAAGAAUGAAAUGCUCAAAAGAAUGGAAGAAAAGGAAUAAAGAAUGAGACAACCUUUUGACAUUAAGAAACUGAAACAGGAUAGAUACCAGUGCAAAUAAAAGAACACCAGGCAACCAGAAUGUGGAAGUAGAACCAGAACAUUUAUGUCAUAAAAGAAAAAAAAAGAAGGAAAACACGAUUGUCUGUCAUUGCAAAGAUAAAUGAAGCACCAUAGCAUCUAUUAUAUUCAUAUUUUCCACAAAAAUAUCAUAUUUGCAAUUGCUUGUUCAACAUCAAGAAAAGAUCAUACUACAUUGCGAUUUGUAUGGGUGGGAGUCAUUUUGCAAGACAAAGGAAAAGCAUGCUAAAACAAACUUUAUGCUUUGACAGAUGCCAAAAACAGAAAAGAUACUAAACUGCACCUUACAUUUUGGUAAAAGGACAGCAGCCCCAGUGUGUCAUAUGACGUGAUCAGCAUUAUUGAAUUCUCUAAUACUUUCAUGCUAUUUCCAUUUUUCCUUUUUAUGAAUUCAAUUUAUGAAAUCUUUUUUUUUCCCCAUUAGUUCAUGAUAUACUAGUACCUGACCCAGUAUAGUUAAAUUAAGGUUUGAUUCAGUUGAAUUGUAGGGUUCUGAUUGGAACCUCAGAGGUAUGCCCUAUAGAAGAAUAUUCGGUCCUUAACAAAAAAUGCCCCAUAUGAAUGUAAAUUCAAAACAUGUGAAAUUAGAUCCUCUUAACCCAUAUUUUCCUUUCCAUAAUUAUUGGAUUAUUAUCCAUUUCUCCAAUAUUAAGACAUACAGAUUGGGAUGGACCCUUUAAGGUUUACUCAUUAAAGAAAGAGAAGUUAAUCAAGGAAAUUGUAACUCUUAAGCUACUCCAUCAAGAGUAUUUGGGUAAUUUUCUAGAGCUAGAUUGUCAGGGAGUCAAUUUAAUGGUAGUUAUUUGUUGAAGUCUUGUACAAAACUUAAAGUGCUCUUUGUUUUAAUUACUUAUUUUAAUAAUUUUAUGGUUUUAAACUUUUCAAAUCUUCUAUUUUCAAAAUGCUUUUAUUUUUCAGAAGGUUUCUAUUUCUUUUAGUUCAAUUAUUUGGAAUUUAAGAGUUCAAUAGAAGAAUUUGGAACUCCAAUGAAUUACUACAUAGAUCAGGUUUCAUAUUUGAUAGGUUGAUAAGGUUUUUGUGUGUGUGUGUGUGGUGGGGGGUUUGUUUCUAAAGCCUAUAAACAAAGUUAUUUGAUGUUAAGGACAAUAAAUGAUGAAUGAUAAUAAUUUUUUAAACCAUUGCACCCUUUAACAGUGAGCAGCAACCUAAGUAUGAAAAAUCCUCACACAAUUUGGUAUCAGGUGGGUGGUGCACCUCACGCCAUGCUGUUGCACAAGAUAAUUGGAAUACUUUGACAUUAACUCCAUAAGAUUUUUUUUUCUUCGUUUUUUAAUUUCCCCCCUUUGUUGGGUGACAAAACUGGCAUGCGGCACAUGUUUUGUGGCUUCAGACCCUCCAUUGGAUGAAUCCCACUCAACAUAGUGAAGAUGCUAAAAAUAAUCAUGAUCUCACUAGGGAAUAUAAAUAUUGAAAUCUAUCGCAGUCAAAUCUGCAUUUUGAUUACGCCCAACAAUCAUACAAAAUUAAUCUCUCACUUGGCAUGAACCAAAGGUACACCUCCACUAGUCAAUCAUAAUACUGCCAAGCCUCAAAACCUGCUAACACUCUUUUUCUUCCUUCACAUGGAGGCUGUAGCAUUUUCCCCUCCUAUGAAAUAAUCAAUAAACAAUAAAUUGAGUUUAUCCUAGUAAGAAAAUGCUCUACUGGAUAGUUUUCAUUUAGCCUUUCAAAUUCUAAGAACCAAAAGUACUUUUGGAGUUUCAAUUCUCUAAAUUUUGAAACUCAGUUAUGUGUUAUCUACAUAAAUAAGUGGCCAUUAUCUAAUACAAUCAUUAGUAGUCUAUUUCAAGUAAUGUCAAAACCUUCUCCAAAACACACACCAUAAGUUUCACAGUCAGAAGCCACAUAUCCCACUAAAUUGAAAGAUUAAUGGAAAUAAUAAAGUCCCUACUGCAUGUAAUGAUACAAAAUUGUCACCAUUCUUUUUCUCUAGAAUUCGUAAAUCUCAAUCAGAGUCAUGCACCCUUCAGUGAUUAUCAGCACUAGUUUGCCAUGAUGAAAUGAGAGCUCCCAAUUCUGAUUAUUAACAACCAAUAACUAAACAUUAUAGGAGUAUAGUAAUGACUGAACUGCGGUAAAGUGCUCUUAAUCCACAUCUUUGAGUAUAAUUAUAUCCAGAAUAGCACAACACACAGGGCACCAGUUGGAAAACCAUUUUAGUCUCACAAGCCGUAAGGAGGUAAACUUUGUGAAAGACAAACCUAAAAUUACAUAAUCACUGAAAGUGUAUUUCUCUAUUUCCCCUUGGCUAAGCCUGUAUACAAAAACCAAAAGUUUUUCUACACCGGUCUCUAAAGAAAGCUACUAACCACCCCCACCCCCCCAAACGCCAGAGAGAGGAGCUUAUGAGUUCUAUAAAGUAUAUAAACAAACCAAAAUUAGUACUACUCAUCUAUUCUUUUGAUAGGUGAGUAAAAAAUUUAUUUCUGCAAGAUUUGUAGUGUGAAUAUAGCAUUCCUGGUUCUCAGUUGUCAGAACUAAGAAUUUCAUCAGCAGAAGUAAUGCCCUGGGUUAAAUGGCAAUGAACGAAACAAAACCUACUGGAAAAAUCAGGGGAACACAGUAUCCACGUUCCAAAUCCAAUCAUCGAAACAUACGGCAUGAUUCGAGAUCGCCAGAUUCACAAAUUACAAUAAUCGACAAAGUCGAUAAACAACAACAACCAAAUCAAAGAAGGUGUAGAACAGAAACAUUACAGUUGAUAAACAAAACGAAAAGAAAAGGCAAAAGAAGGAAACGGAGAGAGAGAAAAGAAGAGAAACAUACGCGAGAGCGCGAAAAUUAUCGCGAAUUUCACCAUGGAUCUGCUCCAACUGAGGCGUCAUCUGCAAGUCGGUGGCCAUUUUCAGAGCCGGAACGACUACUCUUCACGCCACCUACUUCACAGCAUUACAAUCGAUGCAGUUGCCGCAGAAACCCUAACCGCACCUCCGAUUUCAAAAUCAAAAACACAAUUGAAAAAAUCGAAAAAGAAAAUCAAAAAGGUAAAGAGUUGGUUGUGAAAAAGAAAGAAUUUCAGAUUUGUAAGGAUGACAAAAAAAGCCUGGAUUGAUGCGAUUCAAGGAGAGAGAAUCGCUGUCUCCUAACAGACUGUUUUUCCAAACCUCGCCUUAUGUUUAUUUUUUCUCAUAUAUUCUUUAUGAUUAAGUUAUUUAACUAAUAGAUAUUAUAAUAUUGCUAAAUAUGGAAGAAAAAUUCUCCGCGCAGUAUAACGCACCAGAUUCUAACGUGAGCCGGCCCCGAUCUCGCGAUAAAUAGCAAAUGUUUUGAAGAGUGGCGAGCAAACAGUUGAAACUGUACCACGUAAUACAUCCGUCAUUCAGUACACGUGGCGAGCAAAUGACGAGGUGGAGAGGGAUUGGAUACCAGUCGAGUUGUUGAAAAUAGGGAGGGGAGACGGCGUAUGUUAGCAAGAGAUAUAAAAAUAAUUGGAAAUUUUUUAUUAUUUUUUUGAAUUAGGAACGGGGAGGUGGAAAUGCGCUGUCUAACGGCCAAUGUGGGUGCGGUGGGGUGGUGGCCCACCUACCAUUUUCAUUGGGGGCAGAGCUAUCCUGUGGGCGUUCCUUGUGUCCACCAGUAUCAACAAUAAGAAGACCAAUCAUGUCAUCACACGUGGUGGAGCCCUCAUUGAACCUCGGCCACUUCACCCACUUCGGCAUAGGCUGUCUGAUUUAAAACUUUAAAUAUAUGGUACUUUUGUUUUCAUGAUACCAAUUUUAUAAUUUUUAUUUUCAUUCUAGUUUUGUCAUUUCAUUUUUUUUUAAAUGUUAUAUAUCGAACUAUUUAUUUUAUUUUAUACCAUGGUAAAUAUAUUAGGAGUAGAAAAUUAAUCUAAUAUUGUAUAUUAGAAUUGAAGGUUAGUGUCACCAUUGAGAAUAUAGAUAUUUGGUUAAAAAGACUUUGAAUGAUUUUGAAAUGGAAAUAAUAACCUCUCAUUUAUUCUUUUAAAAAAUGAUAUACUUUGGACAAUAUUGUCCUUUUUGUUUUCUCAAAAAUAAUAAUUUCUUACCAUUUUUCUCUCAUUUAUAAGACUAGUUCUCUUCAUGCUUUCUUCCUUUUUAGGAAAACUCAUAACAAAGAUCAAUAGAUCAAAAUCAAUCAUAAUUUUCUCAUCUUUCUUUCUAUUCAUCUUUUUUUUUUUUUUUUUUGUUAGAGUUUUUGUGGUUGUUUUUUGCAAUGAAUUUUUUUUUUGGAAUUUUUCUAAUUUUUUUGUUGAGAUUCUUGUGGUUGUUUUUUUGUUGUUGUUUUCUAUUGUGAUUUUUCUUAUAUGUUUUUUUGUAGAGAUUUUGGUUGAGGGUUUUUUUUUUUUUUUUUUUUUUUGUGGUGGGAUUUUGGUUAGUGUUUUUUUUUUCUCAUUAUUUUUUUGUAGGGUUUUUUGUAAAUGUUUUAUGAUGAGAUUUUGGUUGAGAUAUUUUUGUGGCAAUAUUUUGGUCGAAGUUUUUUUGUGGCUGCUAUUGUAGGUUAUUUUUUUUUUUUUGGAUUUUUUGUUGCUAUUUAAACUUCUAAAACAUGAAGAUGAUUGUGGAGUCGUGCGAUCUAGUAUUUAAGUUCAUACCGAACAUUUUAAUUAAGAAUGUAAUCGAGUUUAUAGGUUUCCAACCUA